UACAGAGGGUGCGAGCGUUAAUCGGAGUUACUGGGCGUAAAGGGCGCGUAGGCGGUUAUUUAAGUGAGAUGUGAAAGCCCUGGGCUUAACCUAGGAACUGCAUCUCAUACUGGAUAGCUAGAGUAUUGUAGAGGGUAGUGGAAUUUCCGGUGUAGCGGUGAAAUGCGUAGAGAUCGGAAGGAACACCAGUGGCGAAGGCGGCUACCUGGACAAAUACUGACGAUGAGGCGCGAAAGCGUGGGGAGCAAACAGG
Molecule: ribosomal RNA, 253 nt
Filed under: uncultured bacterium
Lineage: Bacteria
Description: partial 16S ribosomal RNA
Rfam family: Bacterial small subunit ribosomal RNA
Source: RNAcentral